AGGAAUUUUCAUUAACAAUGCACACAUCAGUAUAAAACAUAACGCGUUGGCUCCAUGUUCGUCGUACGUACAUUUCAAAUCAACCCUGACGUUUCUGAAGCAGAAACCUAUUUUAAUGACACUUGUGACUGGAAAGUUUAAUUAUGAUCGUCUAGUUCGCUUGGGACGAAUCGGGUUCGAGGCUUACGAUUUUUCUCAGUCCGUGAAGGCAAAUGCUGAUAGGGACAGGUCGGACCCGACCCCUUCCGCGUUCUUCGUAGCCACAAUCAUCGCAUCGAUCGCUGGUAUAUAUCGAUAAGAAAGAAAUUAAAAUAUAUGAAUGGCUGUAUGUGAUUGGAGGUAAAUUUGAAAACAACAAAGAAACUGAAUAAAUCCAACUUCAGUGUUGCAUUCGUUGUAGCAAAAUCAUUUUGAGAGGCGAUCUAACUAACCAUCUGGGCGAGUUAGCAAAGCAGAGAAUUGUUAGGCUAAAAAUCAAUUCACAUUCUGUGCAGGAGUGACGCGACGAGAUGACGACACUGAAUACUGCAUGUAACAUAGAAGAUGAUAAUAUGAUACAGAAUAACAGAGCUACUGCCUAGCAUUCCUUGCACUAGAAGGAAGUGAGCGAUAGGUUUACAACGCCUUCUGUGUUCUAAAAGACGGCGUCGGAUGUGAACGGCUGAUCUUUGAGAUCGCACAACGUCCAGAAUGAUCAACACAAAACGUGAGUCAACAGCGAGACCAAGCAGCCACGUGUCCUUCAACUGUUUCGGCCGAGGUUGGAAACUUGAGAAGCAAAUAUCUUGUGUCGGCGACUGGAACGAGAUUGGUGCACAUGGACUCCAGCACAUGGCUGGUGAUGAUGAUAUGUUUCAAUCCACGCGUGCUUCAGAAGGCAGACAAAAGCGAGACGAAACUUUCACUACGUGUCGCCUUCGUCAGAUCCCUCGAACUUGUGCUGAGCUUGGUUCGUUGCCUCGGCUCCGCGUCAGGCAUGGAGCGAGACGGUCAGAGCGAGUGCGGCUAAUGGAAGACAGCACAUGCAGC
Non-coding RNA from Zootermopsis nevadensis, 1029 nucleotides. Lineage: Eukaryota; Metazoa; Arthropoda; Insecta; Blattodea; Termopsidae. The record is from RefSeq and is a predicted model, not a curated record.